CAUACGCAUAGCUAAGUUAGCUAUGUCUUUAUUUAGCGUUAGGUGCUUAUUACGUGUUUGUAGCUGUUCAGUUUUAUUGAAUCCUGUUGGAAAGUCUGCACCAAACCGUUCAUAUUGUUUAUGCGACCGCAAUAUUUCACGCUACUGUGCGAAGUGAGGCUCGGGAAUUUUGAUGAUCACAACCUUAUAUUAAAAUAGACUUGUUUCUGUAAAGUUUGCGUUGUUAGGUGUGCCGCCGACUGAAAAUACUGUAUCCUGAGUUUUUCAUUCGUGUACUACAGAGUGUGUGUUUGGCGUGCAGGUGUCAUCACUGCCCUAUGGUAGAGAAUCUUCCAAUUAAACUACAUAGACAGUCGAUAUUUUCUUUACAAGAGAAACUAACGUUAUAGUUUUCUCUUCUUUUACAUACUAUACGUGACUUAAAUAUUGGGUAUUACAUUUGGUUUGGAAGAUAAUUUUCUCGCCAGAAUUUAAA
Long non-coding RNA from Sander lucioperca (pikeperch), 475 nucleotides. RefSeq lists it as uncharacterized. Lineage: Eukaryota; Metazoa; Chordata; Actinopteri; Perciformes; Percidae. The transcript is spliced from 2 exons. The record is from RefSeq and is a predicted model, not a curated record.